UGGGUAGAGAGAGCGUGACGUCACAAAUGCGUGUUCAACAUGGUUGGCUCGAAAAACACGUGACUUAAGGACGAUUGCUGUUGUUGACAUAUCGCAUCGGGGCGAAAAUACGUGUUAUGUGCUAAUUUUUGAAAAUGGUUCUGUAUUGCUGUGCGUUUGGAUGCAAGUCAAUACAUCAUAAAGGAAGCCAGCUAAGUUUUCACAAUUUUAAUCUUUUUCAGUUUUCCGAAGGAUGAAAACCGUAGAAGGUUGUGGGAAAUCAAAGUAAGACGACAAGAUUUCAAAGCAACUUCGGCGACAAAAAUAUGUUCCAAACAUUUCGAAGAGGAGUGCUUCGAUAUAGUGAAGUUUGGUGGUACAUGGCUAAAGAACACUGCUGUUCCCACAAUUUUCGAUUUCCCUCCGCAUUUGCUUACCACUCUAAACCCGAGGAAACCAGUCAAACAGUUGUGUUGUAGAGGAAUGUCACGACACUAAUGGAAAGAGAAGUAAACAAGGUUAUGUCCGAGAUACGACAAAGGCGACAUACUCGUCCGAAACGUAUGUGUCAACAGAGGCAGAAGGUGGCACCAGUUAUGUUUCUCCAAGAUACCAUUACAUUGGUGACUUUAAUGAACAGGAUAUUCAGUCUCCGAGGAAGGCCAAGAAGUUUCUUGCUAUUGUGAAAAAUGGACUAAAGAACCACAGAAAUAAGUGUAAUGCACUGAGGAUGAGAAAAAAAGACUUGUGAAGAAGUUUACAAUUAAAACCACUAAGAAAUUGCAAUGCAUUAAGCACUAGCCUUUACAUUAAUCAGUAAGUUCGGUCUAAAGUCAUAAUAUAACUUUUGCAUCACAGUAAUGCAACAGUUACACAAAGCAAUAUUAUUUUAUUUAUUUGUAUUACUUUCCAUAAAUCUAUUUGUAGUACAAGUCUCACUAGAUGUAGAAUAAAUAAAUUAUAAAAUUAUGCACAAUUCAUACAAAACUAAUUCACAGAUUCACACACACAAUACAAGGCAUAAACAAAACGUACACGUGGAAAUGGUGAACUGCGCUAUCACAUCUAUUCAAGGGCGCCCAUAGGAUGAAAAGGAGGG
Molecule: long non-coding RNA, 1078 nt
Organism: Bacillus rossius redtenbacheri
Lineage: Eukaryota; Metazoa; Arthropoda; Insecta; Phasmatodea; Bacillidae
Exons: 3
Source: RefSeq, a predicted model, not a curated record